This 884-nucleotide long non-coding RNA is filed under the name Corvus moneduloides (New Caledonian crow). Its description in RNAcentral is "lncRNA (ENSCMUG00000019051.1)". Lineage: Eukaryota; Metazoa; Chordata; Aves; Passeriformes; Corvidae. The record is from RNAcentral.
AGGACUCCGCUAGCUUGUUUGGUUGCUAGGGAGGGGCCGGGCGGAGAAGAAGAGAACGUCUCCGUGCAUACCUGGUGUCCUGUAGCCAGUCCCACUUCUCUUUCGGGCUUUGAUGAUUCAUUCCCUUUCGGGCCUGCCCCGUAGUUCGCAAUACAGGGGGGCAGCACAUGGGACUGAACGCUGCCAGCGCUGGCUUGUGUUCUCCUGCCUUUGAGAAUUUGGGGAAUAAUCCUGAUUUUAAAAAAUUGGAGAUGGUAUCUUGGGCCAAAGUGCCGGGUCUGCAGCGAGCGCUGUAGCUGAGCGCUUGGGCUGUGCAGCCGCAGAUGCCCGUCCUUGCCCGUGUCUGUGCUCCGGCAGCUUUCGAUUUCGCGGGGCAAAGUCUCGGCCGCUGGGGCCAUGGAGGGACGCGCGCUCCCGCCCGGCCCCGCCCGCGGGGGCCGAGGGACGCGGGGCCGGGGUCGGGGCGGGGGCCGGGGCCGGGGCCGGGCUGCGGAGCGGCUGCCCCGGGCCCCCCAUCCCGGGCCGGCUCCGACCCCGCGCCCCGCCGGGGCCGCGGCCGCGGACGAGCGGCUGCUCCAGGCCCUGGGGGGGCUGAGCCUGGGGCCCCCGCGGGGCGGCGGCGGCGGGAGGCUGGUGCUGCUGCGGGGGCUGCCGGGCGCCGGCAAGAGCACCCUGGCCAGUUCUCUCUGCUGCUGUUGCCCGGUUCAUCCCAGCACCUCCAGUCCUGGGCCAGCUGUUACCCGCCUUACCAGCACCAGGUCCCACUGCAGAACUGCAGCUCUGACGGGUUCAUGGACUUCAGCUCUGCAGCUGUUGCCUCCCGGCAGCGUUGCACUGUAAACAUUUACCUUUGCAUGAAACCACUUCAGACAGCUGAAACGUGA